RNAcentral lists this long non-coding RNA (1100 nucleotides) under Anser brachyrhynchus (Pink-footed goose). RNAcentral describes it as "lncRNA (ENSABRG00000010490.1)". Lineage: Eukaryota; Metazoa; Chordata; Aves; Anseriformes; Anatidae. The record is from RNAcentral.
UGCCUACAUUUGCCUGUUAAAAUAUAUGAAAGGUCCUUUAUGGGAUUAUUUUGUCAAAACAGAGAUCAGUAAGAAAAUAGAAAUCCUAUUAAAUUUUGAAAUCACUAAUGUUAUUGUAGAUCCUUAAAAGGUCAAAAGGGCAGAUAUGAAAAAUGACUCUUUCUCAAAGUGCAUUCUCAGAUGAAUCAAAUGAGUGUGUACUGGUGAUGACUGAAAUAUUUAUGCAUUUUUACUGAAAUGCACUGGGUUUACAGCAUGAUUUCUGAAAACUAAUGAGCAAAGCUAUAGCUGUCAGAUAAUUAACAAAAGAUGAGAAAAAAAUUAGGAUUAGCAUCAGAAAACUGCUAAAAGGCAGCAGGAGAAAGAAAAAAAUGCAACCUUCGUAUGAAUGUAAAACACACAAAGGAGCUGUUGCUCAGCUCUAGCUUUUCUUUCAUUUUCUUCAUGUUUUCUCUCUGCACCAUUUUCUCCCUGAUCUGAACAUUCAGCAUGAAAUGACUUUUCAUCUACCCAGCCACUAAAACUUGUGGAGUCACCACUACAAUUUUGUCCUGUCUUGGUGCAAUUGUUGGAUGAUUCAAGUCUUUACUCAUCAUGUUGCAUUAACAGCCUGUGUUGACCUACUUUCCAGUUUUACCCCAGAUAAAUUAAGCAAAAUAUCAUCUUUGGCUUCUUAAGUGAACUCCACAGACCUGGGACUCAUGGUAGCUAUAUAGGCCAGUAAACAUGGUAUUGUAGUGUCUUAUAACAGGACACAGACUUAUUGUUGAUAAGCCAGCGAUACAGGAAGGAUUCUGAGCUUGUCUAGGCCUUCCUGGAGACUUGUUUGAGCUUGUUUGUCUGUAACAAGAAUUGUCUAAUCACCAGGUCACCAUUGCCUUGUUUUUCUUUACCUGACUUUAAAAGAAUUGUGUGGUGUGAUACUCACUGUAUUCAAACAAUUUCAGCCUUUGGAGCCGGCUAAAACUCUAUAGAUUAAAUUCAGAUAUAACAUGGACCUGCACUUAAAUAAGGAAAAGUUACCAAAACUAUAAAAGCAUGUUAGAGAUUGUAAGAAUAUGUAAAGACCAACACAAAAAUCAUCUCAAACAUUACUACUG